RNAcentral lists this ribosomal RNA (462 nucleotides) under uncultured bacterium. Its description in RNAcentral is "partial 16S ribosomal RNA". It matches the Rfam family "Bacterial small subunit ribosomal RNA", at positions 29 to 507 of the family's 1533-position model. The record is from RNAcentral.
AUGAACGCUGACAGAAUGCUUAACACAUGCAAGUCUUUGGUGAAGCUGUGCUUGCACAGCCUAGCCAAGGCGGACGGGUGAGUAACGCGUAAGGAACUUGCCCUGCAGUCAGGGAUAACAGACGGAAACGACUGAUAAGACCUGGUAAAGUCAGGCGGACUCAUGUCCAGCCUGAUGAAAAGAGAUGCUGCAGGAGAGCCUUGCGUCCUAUUAGCUUGUUGGUGGGGUAACGGCCCACCAAGGCAAUGAUAGGUAGCCGGCCUGAGAGGGUGGACGGCCACAAGGGGACUGAGAUACGGCCCUUACUCCUACGGGAGGCAGCAGUGGGGAAUAUUGGACAAUGGGGGCAACCCUGAUCCAGCAAUUCUGUGUGCACGAUGAAGGUUUUCGGAUUGUAAAGUGCUUUCAGCAGGGAAGAAAAAAAUGACGGUACCUGCAGAAGAAGCGACGGCUAAAUACGUG